Molecule: transfer-messenger RNA, 376 nt
Filed under: uncultured Traorella sp.
Lineage: Bacteria; Bacillati; Bacillota; Erysipelotrichia; Erysipelotrichales; Erysipelotrichaceae
Rfam family: transfer-messenger RNA
About the family: Bacterial tmRNA, also known as 10Sa RNA or SsrA, is named for its dual tRNA and mRNA-like properties.
Source: RNAcentral
GGGGCUGUCAUGGUUUCGACAGAGAUAUGUUUGGUAUAGACGGCAAUCGAGUGGCUACGUAAAAGCUCUUAAAAAUAAACGGAAAAAACUUAUUUGCUAACUUUGGUGGAAACCGCCAGGUUGCAUUCGCUGCUUAAUUAACCUAACUACUGGUUUGCAGCCGUCCUUCUGAUCUGCCGCUCUUAAGAUCAGACAGGGUGUCAUAAAUAAGGGAUAGUCCAUCUGAAAGUCUGAGUUCAGGUGGAUGAAAUUCAUCAGACACAUCAGUAGGAGUUUGUUCAUCAUUACCUGCUGAAUAAAAGGUAUGAACUAAAUUGUAGAUGUCUAUACGUGGGACUAUUUUUGGACAGGGGUUCGACUCCCCUCAGCUCCACCA